ACAGUUAAAAAUGUGAAUCGCUAGCUUACAGUUUGUUGAGCAGUAGGAGGACCUCUUCUGGUCCUUCUCACAUCAUAUUUUCAAUUAAAACUCCCCUAAAUCUGGCUUAUUAUACUGUUUUUUUUUAAUAAUGAGUCCAUACGAUUGUCACGAUUGUGUUGUAGUAGUUUGUGUCCAUGUGCGAUGAACACGCUAGAACCUGAUAGGUUAGCCGAGAAAACACGAGAUGAAACCAUUUCACUUUCUGACAAUUACAUGUAAGAAAACCAAGUGUAUCGGGUUCAUUGGAAUUUACUCAAUGAGGAUGAUUCAGAGGAAGCAUUCAGUUUUGUUGUCAACAAUUAUAACGCAUGAGCAAUAAUAUUGCAGGUAUAAACGUGAACGUCCACAAUGAUUUCGUUACUACCAAACGAUUUUCAUUGAGAAUCCUGAUCAACAUCCUGAAGCUGUAACUGCUAGUACAAAUGCACGUCGCUAAAAAUGGGACUCCUGAAGCCAAACAUUAGUUCCAGAUAUAACCAAAGAGCUUUUAGGGCACAAAAAGUCCAAACUAAAAAAUUCCUGAUUCUCAAAUUUCGCUAAUUUGAAUUUUCAUACAAAAAAGUACGAGAGACUCGAUGGAUCCCAAACCAAAAGAUAUCAGUGUCUAAGGUUAGCCCAAUUUCAAAAAAUCGUUACAUGUAAUCAGUUUAUACGUAACUUCGCCAUUCUUCAAUUCUCAUACAAAAAAAAGGUACGAGUGUCUCAGGUUAGCCCGAUUUCAAAAAAUCGUUACUUCUUAUUUAAUUCUUAAAUAACUUCGUUAUUCUUUAAUACUCAUACAAAGAAGGUACGAGUGUCUCAGGUUAGCCCGAUUUCGAAAAAUCGUUACUUCUAUUUAAUCUUCAUAUAACUUCGCCAUUUUUUAAUUCUCGUAUAAAAAUGGUAUUGGUGUCUCAGGUUAGCCCGAUUUCAAAAAAUCGUUACUUCUUAUUUAAUCUUUAUAUAACUUCGUUAUUCUUUAAUUCUCAUACAAGAAACAGGUACGAGUGUCUCAGGUUAGCCCGAUUUCAAAAAAUCGUUACUUCUAUAAAAUCUUUAUAUAACUUCGCCAUUCCUUAAUACUCAUACAAAAAAAAGGUACGAGUGUCUCAGGUUAGACCGAUUUCAAAAAAUCGUUACUUCUUAUUUAAUCUUUAUAUAACUUCGUUAUUCUUUAAUUCUCAUACAAAAAAAAGGUACGAGUGUCUCAGGUUAGCCCGAUUUCAAAAAAUCGUUACUCCUAUUUAUUCUUCAUAUAACAUCCCUAUUCUUCAAUUCUCGUAUAAAAAUGGUAUUGGUGUCUCAGGUUAGCCCGAUUUCGAAAAAUCGCUACAUCCAUUUAUUUUAUACAUAACUUCGCCAUUCUUUAAUUCUCAUACAAAAAAAAGGUACGAGUGUCUCAGGUUAGCCCGAUUUCAAAAAAUCGUUACUUCUUAUUUAAUUCUUAUAUAACUUCGUUAUUCUUUAAUACUCAUACCAAAAAAGGUAUGAGUGUCUCAGGUUAGCCCGAUUUCGAAAAAUCGCUACAUCCAUUUAUUUUAUACAUAACUUCGCCAUUCUUUAAUUCUCAUACAAAAAAAAGGUACGAGUGUCUCAGGUUAGCCCGAUUUCAAAAAAUCGUUACUUCUUAUUUAAUUCUUAUAUAACUUCGUUAUUCUUUAAUACUCAUACAAAAAAAGGUACGAGUGUCUCAGGUUAGCCCGAUUUCGAAAAAUCGUUACUUCUAUAAAAUCUCUAUAUAACUUCGCCAUUCCUUAAUACUCAUACAAAAAAAAGGUACGAGUGUCUCAGGUUAGCCCGAUUUCGAAAAAUCGCUACAUCCAUUUAUUUUAUACAUAACUUCGCCAUUCUUUAAUUCUCAUACAAAAAAAGGUACGAGUGUCUCAGGUUAGCCCGAUUUCAAAAAAUCGUUACUUCUUAUUUAAUCUUUAUAUAACUUCGUUAUUUCAUUAAUUCUCAUACAAAAAAAAGGUACGAGUAUCUCAGGUUAGCCCGAUUUCAAAAAAUCGUUACUUCCUAUUUAAUUCUUAUAUAACUUCGUUAUUCUUUAAUACUCAUACAAAAAAAGGUACGAGUGUCUCAGGUUAGCCCGAUUUCGAAAAAUCGCUACAUCCAUUUAUCUUAUACAUAACUUCGCCAUUCUUUAAUUCUCAUACAAAAAAAGGUACGAGUGUCUCAGGUUAGCCCGAUUUCGAAAAAUCGUUACUUCUAUUUAAUCUUCAUAUAACUUCGCCAUUUUUUAAUUCUCGUAUAAAAAUGGUAUUGGUGUCUCAGGUUAGCCCGAUUUCGAAAAAUCGUUACUUCUAUUUAAUCUUUAUAUAACUUCGCCAUUUUUUAAUUCUCAUA
This is a long non-coding RNA of Trichogramma pretiosum, 2367 nucleotides long. RefSeq lists it as uncharacterized. The record is from RefSeq and is a predicted model, not a curated record. NCBI's taxonomy places the organism in Eukaryota, Metazoa, Arthropoda, Insecta, Hymenoptera, Trichogrammatidae. The transcript is spliced from 3 exons.